Molecule: non-coding RNA, 2045 nt
Organism: Misgurnus anguillicaudatus (oriental weatherfish)
Lineage: Eukaryota; Metazoa; Chordata; Actinopteri; Cypriniformes; Cobitidae
Source: RefSeq, a predicted model, not a curated record
UCUGUUUUUGUCAAAGCCAGGAUCAUUUUGAAAAACAAACACCUGGUUGGGUUAUUUUGACCCAGCAAUUGGUUUAUUAAUUGCCGCACUUUCUGGAUUCUUCGCUUCUGACUGGAUCACGCUACUCGGACCAGGCGGUAUUUCAUGAUCAUAUCACCAUGACAGUGGAACUUUUUUCAGCCUUUGCAGUUUGUCAGAUUUUGGAAAGCACCCCUGAGAGGAAAUCCGUAUUAAACCGUUAAAGUGCAAGCAAUUACCAACAAGCAGAGGAGGCUACUUGUGAGACUCCUUGCAUCCCAUCUGCUGGAAACCAAUGGUGAAACCUGAGCCAUCAUCAGACACUAAGAAGGCAUGUGACAAGGCAUUGGUGUAUGAAUUUCCUUGCCUGAAGGAUAUACAGCUGCUAAAGGGGAAACAGCACUGAAGAUGCCAACUCUGCUAGCUCCAUCCAUUUACAGGGGAGGAGGAGAAGUCUUCAGACCUACCACUGUGGAGGCCCAGAGGUCCUUUAUUGACAUGCAACCUGUGGGGACCAACAUGGUGGAAUAUCUGCAAAAUCAGAGAUGUUGCACGUUUUGUGACUUGGGGAUGAGCCAAGAAGGACCUGCCAGACCUUUGCCAUUGUUGGAGGCAAUGCCUCUGAGACAAACUCUUUGGUGAAGGAUGUUGAUAAGUUUUUUUUUGUCUUUGAUGUUAACUACACAAAGCAAUAGGUGUGUUCGACUUCAUGCAGCACUGCGCAGACCGAUCGGCAGGUGACUUGAAGCAGUGCAUUUUGGUUAGUACUUUUGUCCGACUUCAGCUGGCGCUGCAGGCACGUGACUGUGUCAUAUGGUUUUUAAGUACCGCGAGAGCGUUUCGAGAGUAGCCAGCUGGCUCAGCCGGUGCAGCUUCUCCAGAGCGGCUGCCCGGAGUUGUGAUGACGUAACAGCUUUACUUGAUUGGUCGCUUCAUUGAUGACAACGAUCACGUGCGUUUCAAGUUUAAUCCAACCUUUAGUUUCACUAAUAAACAUUAUAAAUUCAUGUUUUAAAACAGGAAAAAAACGCUUUAAUAUCCUAAAAUAUGUUAUAUUGUGUCGUGUAAUAAAAUAAAAAUGAAAAUAACAAACUCUAUUGGUAUUUUAAUAAUAUAGGCUUGUUUCCCGUUAUUUUCGGGUAUACAGUUUAAGCAGCAAUUAAAAUAUUCGAUAUAAAAUGUUUCUGGUUGCAACUUUUUAUCAAAAGGUUUGUUUUUAUCAAAUUCAGCAUCUAAUUCACUUAAUUUGCGAUUAUAAACAAGGAAACACGGCGCACACGUCACUACGGCAAGCAGCAGGUGUCCGGCUUGACGGCUCCGUCUUCAGUUCCUCCCUCGACUGCAAGCGGCAAACCUCGUCGAUCGGUCUGCGCAGCGCCGGAUGAUUUCGAACACACCUAUUGUCUUCCCACCUGGGAGUUUCACCAGGAUGCCAUUUAUCAGAUUGAUGGACAUGAGUCCUCCUCUGUUAACAUUUUGAGGACAACAUUUAAUCACUAAUAAUUAACUAUUUCAGUGCUAUGUUUGAAAGAUUCGCCCGCAAUGCCAACAGGAGUUUACUUACAGGCUGUGAGGUCAAGUGGGAGGAAUUAUGAUAAUUUCGGUCUUGUCUACGUCACCAAUCCCAGGAAGUAAACUGUUGCCUACAAUCUGUGUUUGUUGUAGUCCAAGAAAAGAGAUCACUCGCAUUAUCGUUUACUUUGGGGUUUGUACCUUUUGCAUAUCGUUAACAUGAAUUAAUACACAAUUACACACCAAAGGAAAUGUAAAAAUGUGAAUCGGACCAUAUCUGCUCUUUAAAAAAAAUUUUGUUUCAGGGCUUCUUGUUUUUAAUAACAUUUUGAUGAAUGAAAAUGUAAAGUAAAUAAAAUGCUAAUCAUCAUAGUUUAAAUAUUAAGAGUUAUAAAGUCCGUGGGGAUUGUUUGAUGUCAUAUGGGGGUUGUAACUUUUGUAUUAUACAAAUAUACAAAAAUGUAAUUAAAACAUUGUAUUAAAUGUGAAAAAAAUUAAAUGCAAUUUAAAUCACA